Molecule: ribosomal RNA, 485 nt
Filed under: uncultured bacterium
Lineage: Bacteria
Description: partial 16S ribosomal RNA
Rfam family: Bacterial small subunit ribosomal RNA
Source: RNAcentral
GAUGAACGCUAGCGAUAGGCUUAACACAUGCAAGUCGAGGGGCAGCGAGGGUAGCAAUACCUGUCGGCGACCGGCGCACGGGUGAGUAACGCGUAUGUAACCUGCCCGCAACAGGGGGAUAACCCGGCGAAAGUCGGACUAAUACCGCAUAAAACAGGGGUCCCGCAUGGGAAUAUUUGUUAAAGAUUUAUCGGUUGCGGAUGGGCAUGCGUACCAUUAGGUAGUUGGUGAGGUAACGGCUCACCAAGCCUUCGAUGGUUAGGGGUUCUGAGAGGAAGGUCCCCCACACUGGUACUGAGACACGGACCAGACUCCUACGGGAGGCAGCAGUGAGGAAUAUUGGUCAAUGGGCGAGAGCCUGAACCAGCCAAGUCGCGUGAAGGAUGACUGCCCUAUGGGUGGUAAACUUCUUUUACAAGGGAAUAAAAUGAGAUACGUGUAUUUUAUUGCAUGUACCUUGGGAAUAAGCAUCGGCUAACUCCGUG